This is a long non-coding RNA of Malurus melanocephalus (red-backed fairy wren), 655 nucleotides long. RefSeq lists it as uncharacterized. The record is from RefSeq and is a predicted model, not a curated record. The transcript has 6 exons. Lineage: Eukaryota; Metazoa; Chordata; Aves; Passeriformes; Maluridae.
UCCAGUGGAGACAGMGAAGGGAGGAAGCAAUGCCUAGGAGCAGUCAUGUAAUAAACGCACAAAAUGCAGGGGUUCUAAAAGUUUACUGAAAUGUAUUUUCUAGUAUAAUGCAAUGAGUAAUAGUCAUUAUUGCUCCUAGGACUUCUACAGAUCACCAAAGAACAUAAUUUUCUAAGUUCAGCAACUAUUUAUGUGUGAUACUAAAAUUAGAGAGACAGUAAAUGUACUUAAUUCUUUUUAUGCAGUUCAAGUGACAUUGAAGAGAAACCGUGCAAUGAUCCAGCUGUACUUACACCAUUAGGGAGCUUUUUCUGGAUCACAGGGAGGUGGGUGGAUGAACACACAGUGCUCGGUGCUGAACUACUGAGGGUGGCUCCUAGAACAUAAAAACUCUGUAGAAGCUAGCUGAGAAUUUUGCAAGCGUGUCUGAAUGCCGAAUCAACUGAGCAGCUCCCUGGCUCCUGCACAUGCAAAACAUUUGAAUUUCCUGUUGGCUCAGAGUGUUUGCAUUGCAAGUGACAUCUGGUUGACAGAAACUUGGAGAAAUGGGAUACAAAGUGAAUGCUGCAGUUACCAAGGUAUCAUAUUUAUCAAAAGGCUUAAGUGUUCUUGGACAGGARAUAAUCUGACACAAAGCAAAUUUAUGGCAUAGGUA